AACCCGGUACUGCCCAGAGGACUGGGGAUGAGGCACCAGCCUCGCACGGCCAGCCACCCACUCGCUCCGCAAGGAAGGCGGGCUAGGAAGGAAACCCAGGAGCGCGGGCGCCGCGCACCACCGGGAAAAGGGCGAAAGGGGAGCACGGAUGAGUGCGAGCAGGGGAGCGCGGGGGUUCGGUCAGGGCUGCAAAUUCAAGUUGGUCAGGCUCCCCGCGGGACCCUUCCCAAGUCCAAGCCCGCAGCUUGAUGAACGCCGGGGGACAAGGCAGUACCUUCCGACCCCUAACAGCCCUGCCUCCAAAGACCGGCAAACCAGGGGUCA
Molecule: long non-coding RNA, 324 nt
Organism: Suricata suricatta (meerkat)
Lineage: Eukaryota; Metazoa; Chordata; Mammalia; Carnivora; Herpestidae
Exons: 3
Source: RefSeq, a predicted model, not a curated record